GAUGAAACGUAGAAGGGGAGGAGUACAUCCGUAUCCCGCCAGAGAGGAAAGCCGGUUCUAAUGAAUCGCUGUGAGGUUUUCCCGGAAGAGAAGGAUGGAAGGUAGCCCUGGAGUUGCGAUGAUGAACAAAAAGCGCAAGAAGCUUUUCAGUAGUCAUUGCCGGUUCACUGCCGUUACCGAGGAAGAGUGUAUACGUCCUAUUUCGAGAAGACGUGUAAACAAAGGUGGUACCGCGAGCUGAAUACAGCCUUCGUCCUUUCA
Molecule: non-coding RNA, 261 nt
Filed under: Salisediminibacterium beveridgei
Lineage: Bacteria; Bacillati; Bacillota; Bacilli; Caryophanales; Bacillaceae
Description: Bacillus beveridgei T-box sequence
Rfam family: T-box leader
About the family: Uncharged tRNA acts as the effector for transcription antitermination of genes in the T-box leader family. T-boxes are found upstream of many aminoacyl-tRNA synthetase genes and some amino acid biosynthetic genes usually in Gram-positive bacteria.
Source: RNAcentral